Molecule: long non-coding RNA, 523 nt
Organism: Solanum dulcamara
Lineage: Eukaryota; Viridiplantae; Streptophyta; Magnoliopsida; Solanales; Solanaceae
Exons: 2
Source: RefSeq, a predicted model, not a curated record
UUCAAUACCAUAGCACCCCUGUCACCCCUCUGAUGGUAAAAGCCCAUAACUAAACUAUCAUAAGAAAAGAAGAGUGAAAUGGAUUGAGCCCAAUAAUCCAAAGUGGAUGAAGCCCAACACUGGUUCUCAAGCCUCAACCCUAACCCUAAGGCAGCAGCCUCGUUUUUUUUCUUUUUUUCCUCUAUAUAUACAUUGUUCUGCGGUUUCCCUUCUCUUAAUAUAUCUUUCAUUGCCCGCUUCACAGCCCAACCCUAAAUCGUGUACCCAUCCUAAUCCCUACGUUUGUAAAUUGUUUACUCACUGAAGAGCUGUUAGAUUUGGGGUAUGAUGAUCAAAGGAAUUAUACAGUUAUCCCUGUCUGAUUUAUUCAGUGCUGAAGGUUUUGAAAAUUAUGCCACUUCAAUUUUUGAUGCGGGAUCUGUACAUGUACAAGUUUGUCAAGUAGAGUAAUGUUUAAUUGUUACAUUUUCUUGUACUUUUUCUGGAAUUACAUUUCAGCAUACAGUUUUUUUUUAAAAUUUAA